RNAcentral lists this small RNA (1149 nucleotides) under Pan troglodytes (chimpanzee). RNAcentral's name for it is "retained intron". Lineage: Eukaryota; Metazoa; Chordata; Mammalia; Primates; Hominidae. The record is from RNAcentral.
ACUCUCAUUGGUCAGCGAGUGAAUGCCGACCUGCAGACUGGGGCCUAAGUUUCUUUUAGUUUCCGGUGUCUCUGCAAUGGCGGCUCUAGACUCCCUGUCGCUCUUCACUAGCCUCGGCCUGAGCGAGCAGAAGGCCCGUGAGACGCUCAAGAACUCGGCUCUGAGCGCGCAGCUGCGCGAGGCCGCUACUCAGGCUCAGCAGACCCUGGGUUCCACCAUUGACAAAGCUACCGGGAUCCUGUUAUAUGGCUUGGCCUCCCGACUCAGGGAUACCCGGCGUCUCUCCUUCCUUGUAAGCUACAUAGCCAGUAAGAAGAUCCACACUGAGCCCCAGCUAAGCGCUGCCCUUGAGUAUGUGCGGAGUCACCCCUUGGACCCCAUCGACACUGUGGACUUCGAGCGGGAAUGUGGCGUGGGUGUCAUUGUGACCCCAGAGCAGAUUGAGGAGGCUGUGGAGGCUGCUAUUAACAGGCACCGGCCCCAGCUCCUGGUGGAACGUUACCAUUUCAACAUGGGGCUGCUGAUGGGUGAGCAGGGCCUGGAACGGGGCUAUAUUGUUCUCUCUGGUCAUGCCUUUUCUUCUGGGCACGAGUGAGAAGGAGUUGGGGGAAGGAACAGGAGUGACUUAAAGUGGUCUGGCUGGGCUCAGGCUCUGGUUCUGGUGGUCAGCCAGGACCUUUCCUUGGGAAAGAGGUGGGGGGAGUACUCUUUUUUGCCUUUCUGCAGCUCCUUGUGCCUAUGCUUCUAGGAGAGGCUCGGGCUGUGCUGAAGUGGGCAGAUGGCAAAAUGAUCAAGAAUGAAGUGGACAUGCAGGUCCUCCACCUUCUGGGCCCCAAGAUGGAGGCUGAUCUGGAGAAGAAGUUCAAGGUGGCAAAAGCUCGGCUAGAAGAAACAGACCGGAGGACGGCAAAGGAUGUGAUGGAGAAUGGCGAGACUGCUGACCAGACCCUGUCUCUGAUUGAGCAGCUCCGGGGGGAGGCCCUUAAGUUCCACAAGCCUGGUGAGAACUACAAGACCCCAGGCUAUGUGGUCACUCCACACACCAUGAAUCUACUAAAGCAGCACUUGGAGAUUACUGGUGGGCAGGUACGUACCCGGUUCCCGCCAGAACCCAAUGGAAUCCUGCAUAUUGGACAUGCCAAAGCCAUC